UACGAAGGGGGCUAGCGUUGCUCGGAAUUACUGGGGCGUAAAGCGCACGUAGGCGGCUUUGUAAGUUAGAGGUGAAAGCCCGGGGCUCAACCCCCGGAAUUGCCUUUAAGACUGCAUCGCUUGAAUCCGGGAGAGGUGAGUGGAAUUCCGAGUGUAGAGGGUGAAAAUUCGUAGAUAUUCGGGAAGAACACCAGUGGGCGAAAGGCGGCUCACUGGACCGGUAUUGACGCUGAGGUGCGAAAGCCGUGGGGAGCAAACAGG
This 261-nucleotide ribosomal RNA is filed under the name uncultured bacterium. Its description in RNAcentral is "partial 16S ribosomal RNA". It matches the Rfam family "Bacterial small subunit ribosomal RNA", at positions 524 to 776 of the family's 1533-position model. The record is from RNAcentral.